Molecule: ribosomal RNA, 300 nt
Filed under: uncultured Bacillaceae bacterium
Lineage: Bacteria; Bacillati; Bacillota; Bacilli; Caryophanales; Bacillaceae
Description: bacterial SSU rRNA
Rfam family: Bacterial small subunit ribosomal RNA
Source: RNAcentral
ACGUGGGCAACCUGCCUGUAAGACUGGGAUAACUUCGGGAAACCGGAGCUAAUACCGGAUAAUUUUUAUCAACACAUGUUGGUAAGCUAAAAGACGGCGUAAGCUGUCACUUACAGAUGGGCCCGCGGCGCAUUAGCUAGUUGGUGAGGUAACGGCUCACCAAGGCAACGAUGCGUAGCCGACCUGAGAGGGUGAUCGGCCACACUGGGACUGAGACACGGCCCAGACUCCUACGGGAGGCAGCAGUAGGGAAUCUUCCGCAAUGGACGAAAGUCUGACGGAGCAACGCCGCGUGAGUGA